This 468-nucleotide ribosomal RNA is filed under the name uncultured bacterium. RNAcentral's name for it is "partial 16S ribosomal RNA". It matches the Rfam family "Bacterial small subunit ribosomal RNA", at positions 28 to 507 of the family's 1533-position model. The record is from RNAcentral.
GACGAACGCUGGCGGCGUGCUUAACACAUGCAAGUCGAACGGAAAGGCCCUGCUUUUGUGGGGUGCUCGAGUGGCGAACGGGUGAGUAACACGUGAGUAACCUGCCCUUGACUUUGGGAUAACUUCAGGAAACUGGGGCUAAUACCGGAUAGGAGUUCCUGCUGCAUGGGGGGGGUUGGAAAGUUUCGGCGGUGGGGGAUGGACUCGCGGCUUAUCAGCUUGUUGGUGGGGUAGUGGCUUACCAAGGCUUUGACGGGUAGCCGGCCUGAGAGGGUGACCGGCCACAUUGGGACUGAGAUACGGCCCAGACUCCUACGGGAGGCAGCAGUGGGGAAUAUUGCACAAUGGGCGGAAGCCUGAUGCAGCAACGCCGCGUGCGGGAUGACGGCCUUCGGGUUGUAAACCGCUUUCGCCUGUGACGAAGCGUGAGUGACGGUAAUGGGUAAAGAAGCACCGGCUAACUACGUG